AGGGUGGCUCCACCACUGUCCUUCCCUGAUCCCUCCCUAGCUCUAUAAAUAGCUCUUUCACUUCCUUAUCCUCCAUAAGAGAACUACAUUGUAGCUUCGUUCUUUGAAUUGCAAAAAAGAGAAGAAAAAUGGAAGGACAAGCGGGCACCAGUGGAAGUGGAAGUGGAAAUGGAAAUGGAAAAGGAAAAGAAAAAGUAUGGAUAGUUGUAUUUUCUUUGUUUCUAACAUGUUACCAACUAAGUAACUAUCUCUUUUCCUUUCCCUCUUUAAACUCUCAUUUGCAGGAAAUGCAGGAAGAAAUUCAGAUUGGACAAAGGCAAAGAAUUUUUAUAGACAGCAUUCACGCAGCUAAUGCCGUCGACUUAUUUCUAGCAAAUAAGAAUAAUUGGCGUGGAACUGUAAUAGUAUUGGGAAGUAACGAGAAAAACUACGUGGUCAAGAUCAAUGACCUGAAAGCAAAGUAUGAAAAUGUUACCUUUGAGUAGUAGCGUUAGAGGGGGAAGUAAUAAAGUAAGUAGUGUUCAGCUAUGUGUAUGUCUAGUCUUUGUUUUUUCUUUCCUAAUAAUCGUGCUUUGUGUGUGUUUCAUGCAUAAGACUGAUUGUGCGUGUAUUUGUUCCUUUUUUUCUGCUCGACGUAUGUGCACGUUUAAUAACUUAAUUCCCGUAAUCUUUAUAAUUUAGUAUGGCACUGUCAUUAAUUAAUUAAAUUAUAUGCUUUAAAUCUUACUAUGUUUUAGCAAACAAGAUCCAAAAGGCAUGAAGUAGACAUUGGAAAACGAAAUCGGACCUUGACUCGUUUAACUGUAAUCUAGGUUGUAAGUGCAUGUGAUUAGGAAUGAGAAUAAAACUUUGCACAAGAAAGGACUCGUGGUAAAAGAAGAACCAUUUUUUUUGAUUAUGUCAUGUUCUGUAGCCAUCUCCAGUUAUAUUUCUCAAGAAGUGGUUUCUUAUCGCCAGAAAUUUAAAAAUAGC
This 972-nucleotide long non-coding RNA is filed under the name Nicotiana benthamiana. Its description in RNAcentral is "long non-coding RNA (NBEN_LNC039517)". The record is from RNAcentral. Lineage: Eukaryota; Viridiplantae; Streptophyta; Magnoliopsida; Solanales; Solanaceae.